RNAcentral lists this RNase P RNA (414 nucleotides) under Neorhodopirellula lusitana. RNAcentral describes it as "Rhodopirellula lusitana Bacterial RNase P class A". It matches the Rfam family "Bacterial RNase P class A". From Rfam's summary of the family: Ribonuclease P (RNase P) is a ubiquitous endoribonuclease, found in archaea, bacteria and eukarya as well as chloroplasts and mitochondria. The record is from RNAcentral. Lineage: Bacteria; Pseudomonadati; Planctomycetota; Planctomycetia; Pirellulales; Pirellulaceae.
UCAGUGGGUGGGGUGAUCGCUGGUGUGGGCCGCGGCUUGCCGUGGUCCCGUACUGGAGGAAAGUCCGGGCUCCGCAGGGCGGGAUGGUCGAUAACGUCGACCGGCCGUGAGGUUAGGGAAAGUGCAGCAGAGAGCAAACCGCCGAACGGUUGGUUCAUUGAAUCAAUGCGUGGUAAGGGUGAAACGGUGCGGUAAGAGCGCACCAGCGGGCGGGGUGACUCGUCCGGCUUGGUAAACCCCAUCCGGAGCUAGACCAAACAGGAUGCAUGAAGCGGCCCGCUUCGCUACGACAUCCGGGUAGGUUGCGAUUGAGGCGGCGAGCAAUCGUCGUGCACAGAUAAAUGGUCACUGGCGUUCGUGUCGAGCUUGCUCGGUGCGACGUUACAAAACCCGGCUUACAAACCCACUUGUUCG